AAACCUUUUAAAAUUAAUUUAUUAUUUUAUGGGCAUUGGUAGGUUUUUAUUGUCAUCAUCAUUAAUAAUUUCUUUGCAUCCCACACCUAGAUAUCGACUACUUAGCAACAAACAACCUAAAAAAACUAUUCAAAUUUUACAUCAUCUCUCCCACACAAUUUCUCCAUCUUCAAAGGGAAGAAAUUUUUUCAACUAUUGUUCAAAGUGAAGAAACUUUUCAAC
RNAcentral lists this long non-coding RNA (222 nucleotides) under Prunus persica (peach). RNAcentral describes it as "long non-coding RNA (PPER_LNC004783)". The record is from RNAcentral. Lineage: Eukaryota; Viridiplantae; Streptophyta; Magnoliopsida; Rosales; Rosaceae.